CUAACAGACUGAAAAUGACUUAAAGUUGGGUUAAUGACUUAGUUUAGCUUACUUUAUACAUUCAAUACUCCAAACAAAAAUCCCUAUUUGUUGCGUUCAAUGUAGCACGGGUGAUUGACGGGUGAUCACCUUCCGGAAAUUACCCGAAAAUGGAGCAUUAGUUGUUUGGCGUGGGUAGUGGAGGUAAUGUGGGUAAUGAGAAAAGUAGAAAAGUCUGGAUUAUGAUCUUCUGGCUAGAAGAAAGAACAUAAGCAUCUUGACUUGUGAAAUCUCAUAACAAACACACAGUUCUGGGUGUCUCUCUGUGUCCUGAUGUGAGGCUGUAGCUCAGAAUGAGUUGAUCAAGCUCACCAUUAGACAACAUGACAUGGUGUGUAGAAGCUCACUCCUUAACAUCAUGAUCAUCCAGAGCUCCAGACUCACAUCAUCAUCAUCAUCAAUGACACAGAGGAAGAUUCAGUCAAGAUUUACUAAAUGCUGCAAAGUCAUUGUCUAAAUGUGAACAAACAUG
Long non-coding RNA from Labeo rohita (rohu), 511 nucleotides. RefSeq lists it as uncharacterized. The record is from RefSeq and is a predicted model, not a curated record. NCBI's taxonomy places the organism in Eukaryota, Metazoa, Chordata, Actinopteri, Cypriniformes, Cyprinidae. The transcript is spliced from 3 exons.